GUCGAGAAUCUUCCGCAAUGCGCGAAAGCGUGACGGAGCGACACCGCGUGAUGGAUGAAGUCCUUCGGGGCGUAAACAUCUUUUAUAAAGGAGGAAAUUUUUGACGUUACUUUAUGAAUAAGGGGCUCCCAAUCUCGUGCCAGCAGGAGCGGUAAUACGAGAGCCUCAAGCGUUAUCCGGAAUCAUUGGGCGUAAAGGGUGCGUAGGUGGUUUGAUUAGUCUCCCGUUAAAACUUCGAGCUUAACUCGAAAAGAGCGGGGGAAACGGUCAAACUAGAGUAUGUGAGAGGUGUAUGGAACUCAUGGUGUAGGGGUGAAAUCCGUUGAUAUCAUGGGGAACACCAAAAGCGAAGGCAGCACACUGGCACAUCACUGACACUGAGGCACGAAAGCGUGGGGAGCAAACAGGAUUAGAAACCCGGGUAGUCC
RNAcentral lists this ribosomal RNA (428 nucleotides) under uncultured bacterium. RNAcentral's name for it is "partial 16S ribosomal RNA". It matches the Rfam family "Bacterial small subunit ribosomal RNA", at positions 354 to 796 of the family's 1533-position model. The record is from RNAcentral.